Molecule: ribosomal RNA, 451 nt
Filed under: uncultured bacterium
Lineage: Bacteria
Description: bacterial SSU rRNA
Rfam family: Bacterial small subunit ribosomal RNA
Source: RNAcentral
AGAGUUUGAUCAUGGCUCAGAACGAACGCUGGCGGCAUGCCUAACACAUGCAAGUCGAACGAGACCUUCGGGUCUAGUGGCGCACGGGUGCGUAACGCGUGGGAAUCUGCCCUUGGGUUCGGAAUAACAGUUAGAAAUGACUGCUAAUACCGGAUAAUGUCUUCGGACCAAAGAUUUAUCGCCCAGGGAUGAGCCCGCGUAGGAUUAGCUAGUUGGUGAGGUAAAGGCUCACCAAGGCGACGAUCCUUAGCUGGUCUGAGAGGAUGAUCAGCCACACUGGGACUGAGACACGGCCCAGACUCCUACGGGAGGCAGCAGUGGGAAUAUUGGACAAUGGGCGAAAGCCUGAUCCAGCAAUGCCGCGUGAGUGAUGAAGGCCUUAGGGUUGUAAAGCUCUUUACCCGGGAUGAUAAUGACAGUACCGGGAGAAUAAGCUCCGGCUAACUCCGUG